Molecule: ribosomal RNA, 225 nt
Filed under: uncultured Flectobacillus sp.
Lineage: Bacteria; Pseudomonadati; Bacteroidota; Cytophagia; Cytophagales; Flectobacillaceae
Description: partial 16S ribosomal RNA
Rfam family: Bacterial small subunit ribosomal RNA
Source: RNAcentral
AGCGUAGGCGGUUUGACAAGCCAGAGGUGAAAGACGGUCGCUCAACGAUUGCAGUGCCAUUGAUACUGGUAGACUUGAGUGUGAUUGAGGUAGCUGGAAUGGAUAGUGUAGCGGUGAAAUGCAUAGAUAUUAUCCAGAACACCGAUUGCGAAGGCAGGUUACUAAGUCAUAACUGACGCUGAGGCACGAAAGUGUGGGGAUCAAACAGGAUUAGAUACCCUCGUA